GCUGCUGCAGCAGAGCCCUCUGCAGACCUUUGGCCAUGCUCUCAUUACGCUUGAUUGCCAUUGACAGCUUGAUGUAAGUCAGACAGAGUUUCGCUCUUAUUGCCCAGGCUGCAGUGCAAUGGCAUGACCUCGGCUCACUGCAACCUCUGCCUCCCAGGUUCAAGCAAUUCUCCUGCCUCAGCCUCCCAAGUAGCUGGGUUUACAGGCAUGCACCACCACACCCGGCUAUUUUGUAUUUUUAGUAGAGACGGGGUUUCUCCAUGUUGGUCAGGCUGGUCUGGAACUCUCAACCUUAGGUGAUCUGCCUGCCUUGGCCUUCCAAAGUGCUGGGAUUACAGGCGUGAACAAAUAGAAGCUGAGGGUGAAGGACCUACAGCUGUCACCUUCAUCUCUUCUCAACACUGCCAACUGUCCCCUUGGAUUUCCCAGACAGACAACAAGGGACAUCUCUGGUUUCUCGGUGCCCCCUAGAAACCUCGGGUCAUUUCAAGGCAUUAUGCAAAUGAGAAGCUUUCCUUCUCUUCACCUCAUCUCCUGAUCUGCACAAAAGUGACUGUAGGACCCAGUGUUGUAGAUGAGCAUGAGAGUGUGGAGCAGAGUUGGCGAGUGCAAGUCGAGCCCAUCAACCUGGACAGCUGUCUCCGUGCUUUCACCAGUGAGGAAGAGCUAGGGGAAGAUGAGAUGUACUACUGUUCCAAGUGUAAGACCCACUGCUUAGCAACAAAGAAGCUGGAUCUCUGGAGGCUUCCACCCUUCCUGAUUAUUCACCUUAAGUGAUUUCAAUUUGUAAAUGAUCAGUGGAUAAAAUCACAGAAAAUUGUCAAAUUUCCUCGGGAAAGUUUUGAUCCGAGUGCUUUUUUGGUACCACGAGACCCAGCUCUCUGCCAGCAUCAACCACUCACACCCCAGGGGGAUGAGCUCUCCAAGCCCAGGAUUCUGGCAAGAGAGGUGAAGAAAGUGGAUGUGCAGAGUUUGGCUGGGGAAGAGGACAUGCUCCUGAGCAAAAGCCCAUCCUCACUCAGCGCUAACAUCAGCAGCAGCCCAAAAGGUUCUCCUUCUUCAUCAAGAAAAAGUGGAACCAGCUGUCCCUCCAGCAAAAACAGCAGCCCUAAUAGCAGCCCACGGACUUUGGGGAGGAGCAAAGGGAGGCUCCGGCUGCCCCAGAUUGGCAGCAAAAAUAAACUGUCAAGUAGUAAGAAGAACUUGGAUGCCAGCAAAGAGAAUGGGGCUGGGCAGAUCUGUGAGCUGGCUGACGCCUUGAGCCGAGGGCAUAUGCGGUGGGGGCAGCCAACCAGAGCUGGUCACUCCUCAGGACCACGAGGUAGCUUUGGCCAAUGGAUUCCUUUAUGAGCAUGAAGCAUGUGGCAAUGGCUACAGCAAUGGUCAGCUUGGAAACCACAGUGAAGAAGACAGCACUGAUGACCAAAGAGAAGACACUCAUAUUAAGCCUAUUUAUAAUCUAUAUGCAAUUUCAUGCCAUUCAGGAAUUCUGAGUGGGGGCCGUUACGUCACUUAUGCGAAAAACCCAAACUGCAAGUGGUACUGCUACAAUGGCAGCAUCUGUGAGGAACGUCACCCUGAUGAAAUUGACACCGACUCUGCCUACAUUCUUUUCUAUGAGCAGCAGAGGAUAGACUACGCACAAUUUCUGCCAAAGAUUGAUGGCAAAAAGAUGGCAGACACAAGCAGUAUGGAUGAAGACUUUGAGUCUGAUUACAAAAAGUACUGUGUGUUACAGUAAAGCUACCACUCUGGCUGCUAGACAGCUUGGUUGGGAGGAAGAUGACUCCUUGUAGCUGAUACUUGGCAAAAGUGUCACUGAGAGAGGGGAUGCUUCAUCUCUGAGGUUGGAAACUCUGUAGAGCAGGAUUCCCCAACUCCUGGGCUACAGACCAGCACCGUCCAUGGCCUGUUAGGAACCGGGCUGCACAGCAGCAGGAAUACCUGUUAGCAUCCUGCAGAACCAAUGUUUUGUGUAAUCCGUGGUGGGGAAAGCUGCUUGGGAAGAUUAGAAAUGCUCAACACCAGGCCCUCUGCUCGGCUCCUGGCACAUGCAUCGUGGACACCAGGAAGCAUGAGUGCCUGUUGCAUUUCUUCCUAAUGUCAGUCCUCAGAGUACAGCAAGUGGAAGUUCACCAACAGCCCCACGUUCCUGGAGUUGCUGGAGGAGUUCCCAUCCCUGCAGGUGUCUGCUGGCUUCCUGCUCUCCCUGCUCCCCAUUCUGAAGCCCAGGUUUUACUCCAUCAGCUCCUCCCAGGAUCACACGCCCACAGCGAUCCACCUGACUGUGGCCGUGCUCAUGUACCACACUCGAGAUGGCCAGGGUCCCCUGCACCACGGCGUCUGCGGCACAUGGCUCAACAACUGAAGCCCCAAGACCAAGUGUCCUGCUUUGUGCGGAACGCCAGCGGCUUCCGGCUCCCCGAGGACCCCUCCCAUCCUCGUGUCCUCAUCGGGCCUGGCACAGGCAUCCCUCCCUUCCUCAGUUUCUGGCAGCAGCGGCUCCAUGACUCCCAGCAAAAGGGAGUGCAGGGAGGCCGCAUGACCCCGGUGUUCGAGUGCCGCAGCCCAAAUGAGGACCACAUCUACCAGGAGGAGAUGCUGGAGAUGGCUCGGAAGGGGGUGCUGCCUGCGGUGCCCACAGCCUAUUCCUGCCUGCCUGGCAAGCCCAAGAGCCAGAAGCACUUCCAUGACGAUAUCUUUGGUGCUGUAUUUCCCUACGAGGCAAAGAAGGACAGGGCGGCGGUGCAGCCCAGCAGCCUGGAGAUGUCAGCACUCUGAGGGCCCACAGGAGGGGUUAAAGCUGCCAGCACAGAACUUAACGAUGGAGCCAGCUCUGCAUUAUCCGAGGUCACAGGGCCUGGGGAGAUGGAGGAAAGUGAUAUCCCCCAGCCUCACGUCUUAUUUCUCACCUCGUUCCCCAUCAAGCCCUUUACUUGACCUCCUACCAAGUAGCACCCUGGAUUGAUCGGAGCCUCCUCUCUCAAGCUGGGGCCUCCCUGGUCCCUUGGAGACGAAAUCUUCAAUGCCAGGCCUGGCAAGUGGGUGAAAGAUGGAACCCGCUGCUGAGUGCACCACUUCAAGUGACCACCAGGAAGUGCCGUCACACCACUGUGUAUUUAACUGCCAUGGGUACAAUUAUUUAUGCCUCUGUUUAAAAAACGAACACCCUAGUCUGUUCCUAAUGGCCCCUUGGGUCUUCUCUGUAUGAUUCCCUGAUGGAGAUAUUUACA
This is a long non-coding RNA of Homo sapiens (human), 3233 nucleotides long. NCBI's taxonomy places the organism in Eukaryota, Metazoa, Chordata, Mammalia, Primates, Hominidae. The record is from Ensembl.